Molecule: ribosomal RNA, 503 nt
Filed under: uncultured bacterium
Lineage: Bacteria
Description: bacterial SSU rRNA
Rfam family: Bacterial small subunit ribosomal RNA
Source: RNAcentral
GAUGAACGCUAGCUACAGGCUUAACACAUGCAAGUCGAGGGGAAACGAUAUUGGAAGCUUGCUUCCGAUAGGCGUCGACCGGCGCACGGGUGAGUAACGCGUAUCCAACCUGCCCAUCACUUGGGAAUAACCUUGCGAAAGUAAGACUAAUGCCCAAUGACAUUUAUAGAAGGCAUCUGAAAUGAAUUAAAGAUUUAUCGGUGAUGGAUGGGGAUGCGUCUGAUUAGCUUGUUGGCGGGGUAACGGCCCACCAAGGCGACGAUCAGUAGGGGUUCUGAGAGGAAGGUCCCCCACAUUGGAACUGAGACACGGUCCAAAACUCCUACGGGAGGCAGCAGUGAGGAAUAUUGGUCAAUGGGCGAGAGCCUGAACCAGCCAAGUAGCGUGCAGGAAGACGGCCCUAUGGGUUGUAAACUGCUUUUAUAAGGGAAUAAAGUGAGUCUCGUGAGACUUUUUGCAUGUACCUUAUGAAUAAGGACCGGCUAAUUCCGUGCCAGCAGCCG